Molecule: long non-coding RNA, 820 nt
Filed under: Marmota monax (woodchuck)
Lineage: Eukaryota; Metazoa; Chordata; Mammalia; Rodentia; Sciuridae
Source: RNAcentral
AUUUAAAUUAUUUUUGGCUUCCUCCCUUUGUUUAAAAUUGUGAAGAACAAUAAUUAUUUUGGAUGUUAAAACUAAACUAAUUAUUACUUAAGCCGUGCUUUCAUCCUAAGGAUAAUUAGCCUGUGUAUAUGUUUAUGAUAUGCAUAUAUUACAAUUGACUCUAUAAUGAUAUGGAGUAAUUAGGAACAUUUUUGAGCAAAGAUCAGAGGAGAUGCCCUUCUCCAUGGCCAGACUCCUAAUUAAAAGAUACAUUAUUUUUAAAUCAUUGAGAGAGAACUUUAGAACUCUAAAACAAUUAUUUAGAAGUGUUUCCAGUUUAGUUCCUUUAUUUUCUACCUAAUAUUAAGUAGUAAUGUUACAUUAAGCAGUGUUCUUGGUUUUUUUGCUGGCUUGGGAAUUUGGGAGGGAAAGACAGAAGAGGGUUUUCCGUAUCAAACCUUUUGUACACUAGCUGCUUCUUUCCCUUGAGGUGGUAGGUAUUUUCCUUUAAUAAUCCAGAUGGGAACAUGGAUUACAUCAAUUCCUCGUGGAAGCAUUGAGAGGUUGAGCUUCCUUAAUUUUCUUACACUGGUGAUGCAAAAUGGGAAUAUACAAAAUUCUCAUUAAACAAUAAAAGAUGUAAGCACUGUAAAAUAAUUCACAGUGUUGUUUCUUCCUCUACUUAUAACUUAACUUGCUUCAUAAAAGUCCAAUGGCCUAGGAUUUGAAGCAGCAUGUCUUCUGGUGAUUGUUUAUCAAUCCACUUGUUUUUAGUUGAAGGACAUAUUGCCUGGGCACAUGGCCCAGGUCCUGCCUGUCACAUGAGGUCCACAGUUCCCCU